Molecule: long non-coding RNA, 457 nt
Organism: Varanus komodoensis (Komodo dragon)
Lineage: Eukaryota; Metazoa; Chordata; Lepidosauria; Squamata; Varanidae
Exons: 2
Source: RefSeq, a predicted model, not a curated record
GCCUCUAGAACGAGAGCCGCCCCAGGUUCAGGCGGCCUGCGUCCCCGGCCACGCCGCUCUUCCUCGUGUCUCUAUGGCCCUGGGGUGGACCUGGUGUGUAUAGCCAACCCUGAAGUCACACCUCUGUGGUUCUCUUCCCCACGUGGGUUGCCUCGGGGGCCGAUGGCGUUCCAUUCGUUUUCUUAGCGCGCCGACGAGGCGCUUCCCUGCGGAAGUCCCAGGGUCGUGGCUCUUGUUCUUCUCGAGAGUGGAUAGUGUAUCGUCGUCCAGAAGGUGUUGGACUGCAGAUCCCCUUGGUGCUCGCCAGCACAGCCAAUGGACAAGCAUUGAAAAAUCUUCAGUUGUCCAGGAGGCCCUUCCUGUGCACUGUGGCUCCUUGUUGUGUCUGAACCAGUCCUAUGAUGUAUUUGCCCUCUAUUGCUAACAUGCUCCAUUAAAAACCUAAGGAAAACUGAAA